GGUGAGUAACGCGUGGGUAACCUGCCCUGUACACACGGAUAACAUACCGAAAGGUAUGCUAAUACGAGAUAAUAUGUAAUGAUCGCAUGGUCAAUACAUCAAAGCUCCGGCGGUACAGGAUGGACCCGCGUCUGAUUAGCUAGUUGGUGAGGUAAUGGCUCACCAAGGCGACGAUCAGUAGCCGACCUGAGAGGGUGAUCGGCCACAUUGGAACUGAGACACGGUCCAAACUCCUACGGGAGGCAGCAGUGGGGAAUAUUGCACAAUGGGCGAAAGCCUGAUGCAGCAACGCCGCGUGAGCGAUGAAGGCCUUCGGGUCGUAAAGCUCUGUCCUCAAGGAAGAUAAUGACGGUACUUGAGGAGGAAGCCCCGGCUAACUACGUGCCAGCAGCCGCGGUAAUACGUAGGGGGCUAGCGUUAUCCGGAUUUACUGGGCGUAAAGGGUGCGUAGGCGGUCUUUCAAGUCAGGAGUGAAAGGCUACGGCUCAACCGUAGUAAGCUCUUGAAACUGUAAGACUUGAGUGCAGGAGANGAGAGUGGAAUUCCUAGUGUAGCGGUGAAAUGCGUAGAUAUUAGGAGGAACACCAGUUGCGAAGGCGGCUCUCUGGACUGUAACUGACGCUGANGCACGAAAGCGUGGGGAGCAAACAGGAUUAGAUACCCUGGUAGUCCACGCC
This 677-nucleotide ribosomal RNA is filed under the name uncultured bacterium. RNAcentral's name for it is "bacterial SSU rRNA". It matches the Rfam family "Bacterial small subunit ribosomal RNA", at positions 105 to 801 of the family's 1533-position model. The record is from RNAcentral.